Molecule: ribosomal RNA, 465 nt
Filed under: uncultured bacterium
Lineage: Bacteria
Description: partial 16S ribosomal RNA
Rfam family: Bacterial small subunit ribosomal RNA
Source: RNAcentral
CCUACGGGUGGCAGCAGUGGGGGAUAUUGCACAAUGGGGGGAACCCUGAUGCAGCGACGCCGCGUGAGGGAUGAAGGUCUUCGGAUCGUAAACCUCUGUCAGCAGGGAAGAACGGUCACUGUGCUAAUCAGCAGUGAAUUGACGGUACCUGCAAAGGAAGCACCGGCUAACUCCGUGCCAGCAGCCGCGGUAAUACGGAGGGUGCGAGCGUUAAUCGGAAUUACUGGGCGUAAGGCGCUCGUAGGCGGUAUGUCAAGUCAAGGGUGAAAUCCCCGCGCUCAACGUGGGAACUGCCUUUGAAACUGGCAAACUGGAGUGUAGGAGAGGAUAGUGGAAUUCCAGGUGUAGGAGUGAAAUCCGUAGAGAUCUGGAGGAACACCAGUGGCGAAGGCGACUAUCUGGCACAUAACUGACGCUGAGGAGCGAAAGCGUGGGUAGCAAACAGGAUUAGAUACCCUUGUAGUC